RNAcentral lists this long non-coding RNA (209 nucleotides) under Elaeis guineensis (African oil palm). Its description in RNAcentral is "long non-coding RNA (EGUI_LNC018278)". Lineage: Eukaryota; Viridiplantae; Streptophyta; Magnoliopsida; Arecales; Arecaceae. The record is from RNAcentral.
UGGUUAUGGUGGUUCGAUUGCAUCGAGAAUGUACAAUCACUCUAUUGACAUAUGAUGUCUCGGGGUAGACAUGGGGUUAGGCCCAAUAACUAUUAGGUGAGGAUCUCAAUGACGAUUUUACAUCCACUGGUGAACGAUGGGUUUGACUUAACUAAGGAAUGUACCAAUAACUGUUAGGUGAGGCCACAGGACUUAGAGACCUAGCCUGC